AAAAAUAAAUUCCAAGAUUGGGACUAAAAUGUGAAUUUCUUAAAGUUAAAAAAAUCAAGGUUUUCAUUUUUGACAAGAUUUGUAUUGUACCAGAAAAUAGUUGAAAUUAUACAAACUACUGAAUUACCUAUUAAAAACUACUAAAUUGUAGGAAACCAAGACAGUCUUUAAAUUUUUGUAAUAGUUUUUGAGUAAAAAGCAAGUAAAAUUGCAUAUGAACUAAAUUUAUUGGUGAGCCCAAAGGAUGCUGCUUAUGUUCUCUGACUUGGGUGAAGGAAAAAGGGUAUGAAUCUGGUUGCCAUCAUAUCAUAGUUACCUAACGAACUCCUCGUCGUCGCCAUAGCCAUCAUUUCGAAGUCAAAAAUUGAAAAAAAAAAAGUCUGAAUACCAAGUCCGAGAAGAGUUAUUUGAGUUUGGACUACUGCUGCCGUUGAUGCUGAUGACGUCUUCGACGUCGUCGCUGCUGGUGGGAU
Molecule: long non-coding RNA, 473 nt
Organism: Episyrphus balteatus (marmalade hoverfly)
Lineage: Eukaryota; Metazoa; Arthropoda; Insecta; Diptera; Syrphidae
Exons: 3
Source: RefSeq, a predicted model, not a curated record